Cinara cedri is the source of this 254-nucleotide non-coding RNA. Lineage: Eukaryota; Metazoa; Arthropoda; Insecta; Hemiptera; Aphididae. The record is from the annotation of a GenBank genome assembly.
UAAAUGAAUUGACAAUUUCUGUAACAAUAUUUUGACCUUUUCACAUGGUACACUUCAGCAGAAUACUACGUGAUUUAAUUAAUACCGUCAAGAGGGCAGCCUCUGCAGCGUAGUGUUUAAAAUUCUAAAAGUCUCCUACACCCUUUUUUUCAUAAUCAAACCUCAGGAUUAUGUUAUAAAACUCUGCCUUGCAUUGUAAUUCCGUUUUAAACCCUGUGGGGUUGUUGGUAAAAAUCACGACGAGUUCAUAGUCU